GAGACGACUAAAAAUGAGAUGUGUCG
This 26-nucleotide small RNA is filed under the name Bombyx mori (domestic silkworm). RNAcentral's name for it is "ovarian small RNA-5119". Lineage: Eukaryota; Metazoa; Arthropoda; Insecta; Lepidoptera; Bombycidae. The record is from RNAcentral.